RNAcentral lists this long non-coding RNA (529 nucleotides) under Homo sapiens (human). RNAcentral describes it as "HSALNT0062730". The record is from RNAcentral. Lineage: Eukaryota; Metazoa; Chordata; Mammalia; Primates; Hominidae.
AUUCUUUCCUUCAAUAUCGUGAAAAUGGCCAUACUGCCUAAGGGAGCCUGCAGCAGUGAUUCUGUUCUUUCAGAGCGUCUGUGGAUUCCCUCUGCUUUUCUGCCUGCCUUGCCAUUGUCAACAAAUGGACCUGAUUACACUUGUACGGUUCAACUCUAGUUGAAAAGAAAAUAAGCCUCUGAACAAAUAAGCAUUUGUUCCUCCAGGUAGCCUGUGAUGCCACUGCAGUGGUGGAUGUUCCCUGAACACGCUGUGCAUUUUCUCACCUCAGGGUCUUCAGUCAAGCUGCUGCAUCUAUGUGGAAUUCCCUGUCUGUCUCCACCAACUGCCAAAUGCUUGCUGAUCUUUCAAGAUGGAAGUGAAAGGACACUACCUCUCCUAAGCUUUCCCUAGUGCCUUCAUGUACCACCAACCCCCAAGUCAAAAUUUACCUCCACCACCUCAGCACUUUCAUAACCUCUGCCUGACCUCUACUUUAGGACGAAAUAAAACUUAUCUUGUUCUAUUAACUGGAUGUAUAGGUUUAAUU